GCCUGAAUCGAAGGUCAUAGCAUAAAUUCUUAGCGCCGGCCGUCCCAAGACAGGGCGAAGGGAGCGGCGGCACACGGUUCGCGGCGCCAGGGUGGCAAGAGCAGGCCAAGGUGGCAGUGGACAGCACGCAGAACAUCAGCCGCGCCUCCAGCCGCAGCGCUGAUGCCGGGAAAGAACCGCCUCUCCGGGAUCGCCGCAGUGUGCUUCA
Non-coding RNA from Vicugna pacos (alpaca), 208 nucleotides. The record is from Rfam. NCBI's taxonomy places the organism in Eukaryota, Metazoa, Chordata, Mammalia, Artiodactyla, Camelidae.